This 262-nucleotide long non-coding RNA is filed under the name Gossypium barbadense (sea-island cotton). RNAcentral describes it as "long non-coding RNA (GBAR_LNC005501)". The record is from RNAcentral. Lineage: Eukaryota; Viridiplantae; Streptophyta; Magnoliopsida; Malvales; Malvaceae.
GGGGAGGUCGUUGUACAGCAGGGUUUGUUCUUAGAUACUGGGUAAACCAUUCAUUCAUCAUUUGAAAGAAGGCUUGUUUUGCCUCCUCACUUCGGCCUUCAAGCCUUUCGCUACCAGGCGUAGAUGUAACUCUCUGAACUGAAGCUGAAUCAUUGCUCUCAGCUUCCUAGAAUUCAGAUCUAGCUCAGUUGGAUGACUUUACUAUAUCAAAAACUCAUUUAAAAUGAUCAAGAGUCAUCACGCUAUCACAAUUUAUAUAAUG